Molecule: ribosomal RNA, 492 nt
Filed under: uncultured bacterium
Lineage: Bacteria
Description: partial 16S ribosomal RNA
Rfam family: Bacterial small subunit ribosomal RNA
Source: RNAcentral
AGUGAACGCUGGCGGUAGGCCUAACACAUGCAAGUCGAACGGCAGCACAGUAAGAGCUUGCUCUUACGGGUGGCGAGUGGCGGACGGGUGAGGAAUACAUCGGAAUCUACUUUUUCGUGGGGGAUAACGUAGGGAAACUUACGCUAAUACCGCAUACGACCUACGGGUGAAAGCAGGGGAUCUUCGGACCUUGCGCGAUUGAAUGAGCCGAUGUCAGAUUAGCUAGUUGGCGGGGUAAAGGCCCACCAAGCCGACGAUCCGUAGCUGGUCUGAGAGGAUGAUCAGCAACACUGGAACGGAGGUACGGUCCAGACUCCUACGGAAGAGAGCAGUGGGGAAUAUUGGACAAUGGGCGCAAGCCUGAUCCAGACAUACCGCGUGAGUUCAGAAGGCCUUAGGGUUGUAAAGCCCUUUUGUUGGGAAAGAAAAGAAGCAGGUGAAUACCCCGCUGUUCUGACGGUAACCAAAGAAUAAGCACCGGCUAACUUCGUG